This 1671-nucleotide small RNA is filed under the name Histoplasma capsulatum var. duboisii H88. RNAcentral's name for it is "Histoplasma capsulatum H88 hypothetical RNA". The record is from RNAcentral. Lineage: Eukaryota; Fungi; Ascomycota; Eurotiomycetes; Onygenales; Ajellomycetaceae.
UGUAAUUAUUGGAGUUAGGAUAAGCAAUUCAAUUUAUUUUAUCGAUAUUCAGUAUUUGGGUCAAUAUUCGGACUUUAUCCCGUUCCGACAGAUGGUGAUUCUGCGCUUUUGCACCAGUGGCCUCACAGCUAAUUACACUCCCCCGAAACCAUGGUCUACAUACAAAACAACUAUAUAAUCAAGUAGGUGUAAUGGUAAGCAGAUUAGCUCUGUAUUGAGUGAUUACGAUCAGUGCGGAUCAUGUCAAUUCAGCUGACUUUCUACAGUCACCACCUGGGAUCUCUAGACGGCUGAGGAGGACAGGCUGUGUGUCUGAGCGCUUGGGAACUUGACUAUGUACAUUACCUUAUUGAUGCCAGUGUAGAGGUGCUAUGGCGGAACACUGACUUGAUUGCUCAGAGCUUGGGAAUCACUCCCUAUGAGAGAAUGACAGUUAUAAUGAUAGACUGCUGUCAAUUGAGUGCUGCUUUUAAGUAUAGAUAUUGAGCGCAGCUGGAAUUUCUACCACACAAAAUCCGUUAUCUUAUGGCCAUAACGAUUCAAGUUUGAAGCGCUGGCUCUUGAGACAACGGGAUUGUGAUGAAACUGACAUUCAAAUAGUAUGAGCAGUAUCGACAAGAUCAUUGAGAUAGAUGGAUUUAAUGAGAGCAAUUUACUAACCAUUACAUCUACUUGAUUUUGGGGCUAUUUUAUAUAUAAAUCAUGGUAUAGCCUAUACCAGAUAUGUCUAGAGGGAGUGUAAUUCGCAAUUCCCUGAAAAUUUGUAUGGGUUACCCCUUUAUUUUCUUGGAAUAUUCAUGCUAAUGGUCAAAUACACCGCACUCGCAACAAGAAGCGAAACAAACAGCCAAGCGAUUUACGGAUUAGAAGAAAGAGAGAGAGAGGAAAGGGUUUAACCAAUAUCAUCCAUGACCACAUAGCAUUUUUAAAAUGGGUGGUAAUACCACGUGAACAAGGCGAUCUUUGGAAAGGUAUCACGUUCUCUCUCCGUCAACAGCAGGCCUAGGGAUAGCGCCGCCAGGAGAGUCCGGCAAUCUCGCUGUAAGCACUUCAACACCAUCCUCCGUCACUAGCAACGUGUGUUCGAAUUGAGCGGACUGGAGUCCAUCCGCAGUAACGCUAGUCCAGUUAUCCGGCCAAGUCUUGUCUCGACAUUCUCUUGCAGUUUCUACCACCCGAACAAGGUCUGGGUUUGCGCGGGCCUUUUCUCCGACGUAGUAAGUCUCGUUCAGGUCGCCAUGGAAACCCUCAUGGUAGAGUGUGACGUCAAUAUUUACAAUAUCCCCAUCCUCCAAUGGCCGUUGGUCAGGAAUGCCGUGGCAGAUAACCUCAUUGACGGACGUGCAGACGGACUUGGGGAAAUGGACAUAGUUAAGUGGCGACGGGUAGGACUAGAUUGUUUAUCAGCUGAGCACACAUGUUAAGGGAACGAAAAUAUUUUUCUCCCGCCGACCUUUCGUUCUAAGCAAGCCCGAUGGACAACCUCAUCAAUGUGGUCGGUCGUAACACCAGGUUUGAUUUCGCGCGCAGCGAUAUCCAGCACUUCUCGCGCCAGACGGCAUACUUUCCUCAUUCCGUCCUGCUCCUUCGGACUGAGUAUUGUAAUGUUAUGUCGACCGACAUGUUUCUGUUCUGAGCGAGGAAUGCCGUCACUGGCAUAGUCAGGGUGGG